Molecule: ribosomal RNA, 514 nt
Filed under: uncultured bacterium
Lineage: Bacteria
Description: partial 16S ribosomal RNA
Rfam family: Bacterial small subunit ribosomal RNA
Source: RNAcentral
GACGAACGCUGGCGGCGUGCCUAAUACAUGCAAGUCGAGCGGAUGAAAGAGGAGCUUGCUCCUCUAGAUUCAGCGGCGGACGGGUGAGUAACACGUGGGCAACCUGCACUGUAGAUUGGGAUAACUCCGGGAAACCGGGGCUAAUACCGAAUAAUCCUUCGGACCUCAUGGUCCGAUGUUGAAAGACGGUUUCGGCUGUCACUACAGGAUGGGCCCGCGGCGCAUUAGCUAGUUGGUGAGGUAACGGCUCACCAAGGCCACGAUGCGUAGCCGACCUGAGAGGGUGAUCGGCCACACUGGGACUGAGACACGGCCCAGACUCCUACGGGAGGCGGCAGUAGGGAAUCUUCCACAAUGGACGAAAGUCUGAUGGAGCAACGCCGCGUGAGUGAAGAAGGUUCUCGGAUCGUAAAACUCUGUUGUGAGGGAAGAACAAGUACCGGAGUAACUGCCGGUGCCUUGACGGUACCUCAUUAGAAAGCCACGGCUAACUACGUGCCAGCCGCCGCCGUAA